GAGGUUAAGCGACUAAGCGUACACGGUGGAUGCCCUGGCAGUCAGAGGCGAUGAAGGACGUGCUAAUCUGCGAAAAGCGUCGGUAAGGUGAUAUGAACCGUUAUAACCGGCGAUGUCCGAAUGGGGAAACCCAGUGCAAUUCGUUGCACUAUCGUUAACUGAAUACAUAGGUUAACGAGGCGAACCGGGGGAACUGAAACAUCUAAGUACCCCGAGGAAAAGAAAUCAACCGAGAUUCCCCCAGUAGCGGCGAGCGAACGGGGAGCAGCCCAGAGUCUGAAUCAGCUUGUGUGUUAGUGGAACGGUCUGGAAAGUCCGACGGUACAGGGUGAUAGUCCCGUACACCAAAAUGCACAGGUUGUGAACUCGAAGAGUAGGGCGGGACACGUGGUAUCCUGUCUGAAUAUGGGGGGACCAUCCUCCAAGGCUAAAUACUCCUGACUGACCGAUAGUGAACCAGUACCGUGAGGGAAAGGCGAAAAGAACCCCGGCGAGGGGAGUGAAAAAGAACCUGAAACCGUGUACGUACAAGCAGUGGGAGCACCUUCGGGUGUGACUGCGUACCUUUUGUAUAAUGGGUCAGCGACUUAUAUUCUGUAGCAAGGUUAACCGUAUAGGGGAGCCGCAGGGAAACCGAGUCUUAACUGGGCGUUAAGUUGCAGGGUAUAGACCCGAAACCCGGUGAUCUAGCCAUGGGCAGGUUGAAGGUUGGGUAACACUAACUGGAGGACCGAACCGACUAAUGUUGAAAAAUUAGCGGAUGACUUGUGGCUGGGGGUGAAAGGCCAAUCAAACCGGGAGAUAGCUGGUUCUCCCCGAAAGCUAUUUAGGUAGCGCCUCGUGAAUUCAUCUUCGGGGGUAGAGCACUGUUUCGGCUAGGGGGUCAUCCCGACUUACCAACCCGAUGCAAACUACGAAUACCGAAGAAUGUUAUCACGGGAGACACACGGCGGGUGCUAACGUCCGUCGUGAAGAGGGAAACAACCCAGACCGCCAGCUAAGGUCCCAAAGUCAUGGUUAAGUGGGAAACGAUGUGGGAAGGCACAGACAGCCAGGAUGUUGGCUUAGAAGCAGCCAUCAUUUAAAGAAAGCGUAAUAGCUCACUGGUCGAGUCGGCCUGCGCGGAAGAUGUAACGGGGCUAAACCAUGCACCGAAGCUGCGGCAGCGACACGAUGUGUUGUUGGGUAGGGGAGCGUUCUGUAAGCCUGCGAAGGUGACCUGUGAGGGUUGCUGGAGGUAUCAGAAGUGCGAAUGCUGACAUAAGUAACGAUAAAGCGGGUGAAAAGCCCGCUCGCCGGAAGACCAAGGGUUCCUGUCCAACGUUAAUCGGGGCAGGGUGAGUCGACCCCUAAGGCGAGGCCGAAAGGCGUAGUCGAUGGGAAACAGGUUAAUAUUCCUGUACUUGGUGUUACUGCGAAGGGGGGACGGAGAAGGCUAUGUUAGCCGGGCGACGGUUGUCCCGGUUUAAGCAUGUAGGCUGGUUAUCCAGGCAAAUCCGGAUAAUCAAGGCUGAGGUGUGAUGACGAGGUACUACGGUGCUGAAGUAACAAAUGCCCUGCUUCCAGGAAAAGCCUCUAAGCAUCAGGUAACAUCAAAUCGUACCCCAAACCGACACAGGUGGUCAGGUAGAGAAUACCAAGGCGCUUGAGAGAACUCGGGUGAAGGAACUAGGCAAAAUGGUGCCGUAACUUCGGGAGAAGGCACGCUGGUGUGUAGGUGAAGUCCCUGCGGAUGGAGCUGAGACCAGUCGAAGAUACCAGCUGGCUGCAACUGUUUAUUAAAAACACAGCACUGUGCAAACACGAAAGUGGACGUAUACGGUGUGACGCCUGCCCGGUGCCGGAAGGUUAAUUGAUGGGGUUAUCCGUAAGGAGAAGCUCUUGAUCGAAGCCCCGGUAAACGGCGGCCGUAACUAUAACGGUCCUAAGGUAGCGAAAUUCCUUGUCGGGUAAGUUCCGACCUGCACGAAUGGCGUAAUGAUGGCCAGGCUGUCUCCACCCGAGACUCAGUGAAAUUGAACUCGCUGUGAAGAUGCAGUGUACCCGCGGCAAGACGGAAAGACCCCGUGAACCUUUACUAUAGCUUGACACUGAACAUUGAGCCUUGAUGUGUAGGAUAGGUGGGAGGCUUUGAAGCGUGGACGCCAGUCUGCGUGGAGCCAACCUUGAAAUACCACCCUUUAAUGUUUGAUGUUCUAACGUGGGCCCCUAAUCGGGGUUGCGGACAGUGUCUGGUGGGUAGUUUGACUGGGGCGGUCUCCUCCCAAAGCGUAACGGAGGAGCACGAAGGUUAGCUAAUCCUGGUCGGACAUCAGGAGGUUAGUGCAAUGGCAUAAGCUAGCUUGACUGCGAGCGUGACGGCGCGAGCAGGUGCGAAAGCAGGUCAUAGUGAUCCGGUGGUUCUGAAUGGAAGGGCCAUCGCUCAACGGAUAAAAGGUACUCCGGGGAUAACAGGCUGAUACCGCCCAAGAGUUCAUAUCGACGGCGGUGUUUGGCACCUCGAUGUCGGCUCAUCACAUCCUGGGGCUGAAGUAGGUCCCAAGGGUAUGGCUGUUCGCCAUUUAAAGUGGUACGCGAGCUGGGUUUAGAACGUCGUGAGACAGUUCGGUCCCUAUCUGCCGUGGGCGCUGGAGAAUUGAGGGGGGCUGCUCCUAGUACGAGAGGACCGGAGUGGACGCAUCACUGGUGUUCGGGUUGUCAUGCCAAUGGCACUGCCCGGUAGCUAAAUGCGGAAGAGAUAAGUGCUGAAAGCAUCUAAGCACGAAACUUGCCCCGAGAUGAGUUCUCCCUGAGACUUUAAGUCUCCUGAAGGAACGUUGAAGACGACGACGUUGAUAGGCCGGGUGUGUAAGCGCAGCGAUGCGUUGAGCUAACCGGUACUAAUGAACCGUGAGGCUUAACCUUA
Molecule: ribosomal RNA, 2905 nt
Filed under: Klebsiella pneumoniae
Lineage: Bacteria; Pseudomonadati; Pseudomonadota; Gammaproteobacteria; Enterobacterales; Enterobacteriaceae
Also listed under: 1 other name
Description: bacterial LSU rRNA
Rfam family: Bacterial large subunit ribosomal RNA
Source: RNAcentral